UACGAAGGGGGCUAGCGUUGCUCGGAAUCAUUGGGCGUAAAGGGUGCGUAGGUGGCGGGGUAAGUCAGGUGUGAAAUUUCGGAGCUUAACUCCGAAACUGCAUUUGAUACUGCCUUGCUUGAGGACUGGAGAGGAGACUGGAAUUCACGGUGUAGCAGUGAAAUGCGUAGAGAUCGUGAGGAAGACCAGUGGCGAAGGCGGGUCUCUGGACAGUUCCUGACACUGAGGCACGAAGGCCAGGGGAGCAAACGGG
RNAcentral lists this ribosomal RNA (253 nucleotides) under uncultured bacterium. RNAcentral describes it as "partial 16S ribosomal RNA". It matches the Rfam family "Bacterial small subunit ribosomal RNA", at positions 524 to 776 of the family's 1533-position model. The record is from RNAcentral.